RNAcentral lists this unclassified non-coding RNA (221 nucleotides) under uncultured Actinomycetes bacterium. RNAcentral describes it as "uncultured actinobacterium contains 16S-23S intergenic spacer region". It matches the Rfam family "Bacterial small subunit ribosomal RNA", at positions 976 to 1198 of the family's 1533-position model. The record is from RNAcentral. Lineage: Bacteria; Bacillati; Actinomycetota; Actinomycetes.
UGGGUUUGACAUGCAGGGAAAAGCCGUAGAGAUACGGUGUCCGUAAGGGCCUUGCACAGGUGGUGCAUGGCUGUCGUCAGCUCGUGUCGUGAGAUGUUGGGUUAAGUCCCGCAACGAGCGCAACCCUUGUCCUAUGUUGCCAGCGGGUAAUGCCGGGGACUCGUAGGAGACUGCCGGGGUCAACUCGGAGGAAGGUGGGGAUGACGUUCCUUACAGCGUAC